This 1128-nucleotide long non-coding RNA is filed under the name Heterocephalus glaber (naked mole-rat). Its description in RNAcentral is "lncRNA (ENSHGLG00000032686.1)". The record is from RNAcentral. Lineage: Eukaryota; Metazoa; Chordata; Mammalia; Rodentia; Bathyergidae.
GUUUCUUCUCGGGUCUUUAGUUUUUCCAGAGAAAAGAGCCAGUCUUAGCCACCCACACAAGCCUUGGCUCCCACCUCCGAUGGGCACGGUCGAGUUCAGCAGGAUUUAAAUGACAUAGGGAUAUUUGUGCUUGUCUGUGAGUUCUUAAUACCAGGUAUCUGUUUAGAAAAGUGAAACCCUCAUUCUGUCUCUACCGGAGAACGUCAGUUGGCCUCAGCCUGGGGAGCUGCCCUCAAACCCAAGCCUCUUCCUGAUCCUUGAGCUCUUGGUCAUGGCCACUCCUCCAGAUGACUCCAGUGCUGGAGUGAAACUGUGGUUUGAGAACCACGGGUUGUGCUGCAUGGUCUUGGCAUGGCUGACAUUGCUGUUGUGGUUUAAUACAGAAGAAAGACUUCCAGGUGGCUCUGCUGGACGAGACAUUGCAGUUAGAGCCUUUAAAAUGUUGCUGGGAGAAAUAAGAGCAAUACUAGUUAGAAAAAGAAUCCCCAGAAGUUGUUGAAGUCUAAAAUUCUACCCAUGGGACCAAAUGGGAGAUGGAUUUCUGCAAUUAUUGAGAAAUAAAUAAAAAUGUGGUUCCUGCAAAAUGAACUACCAUUAUACUCAAUCUUGAGAGAUUUUGAGAAUCACCAACACUCUGAGCCAAAUUAGAGUUCUUUAUUGCUGGCAGUCGAGAGCAGCUAGCGCUUGAAACCUCUCGACGCUGAAAAGCAGCUUGCAGGGAAACCAGAUGGACUGCCUAGCAACAGCAUCCUCCUCUCCCCCCACCUUCUGCAUACCUGGGGCCUGUGGUUGCCCUUUAGUGACCUACCUGAAAAGUCGGCAUAGCACCGUGGGUAGGAGGGAGGCCUGAGAGGAGCACCAGACCCUGAACCCUAGCUGUGCUGCCUAGGCCCAGCCCUCUUCGGGGCUUCCUUUUGGCCAGAUUUCAUCGGCACACCAGAAAGAGUGAGGGCUCUGAGCUCCAAGUGUCUUCUGCCGCCAAACUGCCCCAUCUGGCCCACCCUCCCACGCAGACACACAUAAUCCUGCCUCCCCACAAAAUGGUGUAAUCUGUCUUCCAAGCUCAAGAAAGUCUGACAUGUGACCACUUCCUGCUGUACAGCAUAGCCCACACGUUCUAGAAACCGG